CAUAUCUCUUAUUUUUGUUUUCAUUUUUCCCGAGUCUUGUGAUACUAUGUAUGCUAGUCAUGAGGGUCUGAUUUAAGAGUUUGCUCGUGUCAGAUUGCAAAAGAACGUGAGGAUGAGCAGAUAGAUAGAGCAUUAUUGAAGAAUGUUCUUGAUAUCUUUGCUGAAAUUGGAAGGGAGGAUUAUGUGAAUGACUUUCGAGAUGCUUUGCUUAGAGAUACUGCAGCUUAUUAUUCUCGGAAAGCUUCAAGUUGGAUUGUGGAAGAUUCUUAUUCGGACUAUAUGUUGAAGGUGGAAGAGUGCUUGAAGAAAGAGAAGGAUAGAGUGUCUCAUUAUCUCCACGUUAUUACCGAGAAAAAACUUCUGGAGAAAGUGAAACACGAAUUGUUGGUUGUGUAUACCGAUCAGUUACUUGAGAAGGAGCAUUCUGAAUCCCAUGCUUUGCUCAGAGAUGAUAAGGCUGAAAGCUCGAGAUCGGUGUGUGGGGAUGAUACCAUAAUGUGACUGUCAUCCUCUCUCUCAGCACUGCCCUAUGAAGGACGGAUCGAUGUUUCAUGUUGUGUUAUAUUAUAUGUUUGCAAUAACAACGUUUCGCGUUUAGAAGCAAAUAUUUCUCUAUAACAAUAUUUCGCUAUUUUUCAUGUCUCUAUAAAUGGAUGUGUAAUGUGGAUGUCUGCACUUAUUCCCUUGUUAAAUGCUUCAA
Long non-coding RNA from Solanum pennellii, 700 nucleotides. RefSeq lists it as uncharacterized. The record is from RefSeq and is a predicted model, not a curated record. The transcript is spliced from 4 exons. Lineage: Eukaryota; Viridiplantae; Streptophyta; Magnoliopsida; Solanales; Solanaceae.